UAAAAUGAAAUAGAUGAAGUAUAGCGUAGAAUCGGGGCCACGCUGUCGGCAUCAGUCGAACAGGGGUUAGCAGGUGAAGCUUUGGUUGUGGUGGUUGCGAUGAAUUUGAUAUCGCUGAUGUCGACGCGCGAACUAAUUUGAUCGUUCGAAGGAUAUUAGAGAUGGGUUCAGGCGUGAUUAUCUUUUAAGCGUAAAUCAAAAUCCAAGGAUUAAGACUUUCAUAGCUUAAUAUACAAAUCAGUAGAAGAUGAACACGCCGGUUUGGGGUACUAAUCACACUUUCCCCCUAAGUUUUUCCCCCCCUUUCUUGGACGAUAACAUUGCCCUUUCAGAAUCAAUCCCAGAUUCCUUUUGUUUCUAUCUCAAGAAGAUGAUGAACGCAGAGAUGAAUUUGAUUGAAUCAAUCGAUUAAAGACCGGGUUGAUGUUUCAGGAGGGCUUCGUUUCAGGCGGUCAUUCCGGCUUUCUCUCCGGCUCCAUUCAUGUUCUGAAAGUCGUUCUUGGUGUACAGGGUGAAUCGCUACAGUUUUCUUAAGUCUGGGUGUGGAAGUGGAGGCGAAAGAGUAGAUUUUGCUUUGUAUAUACGACCACUGUGUCCCCCCCUUUCUGUGCCGAG
Molecule: long non-coding RNA, 615 nt
Filed under: Eucalyptus grandis
Lineage: Eukaryota; Viridiplantae; Streptophyta; Magnoliopsida; Myrtales; Myrtaceae
Description: long non-coding RNA (EGRA_LNC003836)
Source: RNAcentral